UUCUUUUAUUUAAAAUUUGGUAUCACUUUACUGACUUCUAUAAGAAAAUAUGUAUGUCAGUCUUUGAUUCAUGUUGCACUGAAACACUAGGUCACUUCAGAGAAAACAAAUUUCUUUAUAAACUCAACUAUCCAUUUCAUGAUUGUGAUGUGAAUUAUUAAUAUUUUAGGUGCUCUUUAAUGUUUACACUUUUCAUAAAUUUAUCUACAAAGGCAUUUACAUAAAUUUUCUUUUAGAUUUAUUCAUAGAUAAAGAGUAAGUUUGAUAUCAAAUUCUUGGAUAGGCUUUUGCAAGGAAGACUCCUCCCCACAUGGCUUCAGUGCAAUGCUGUCACACUUAGGGUGUGUUGGGGAGCGUGAAGCAGUCUAAUGUUUGUUCAGGUGCAGGUAUUGAGGCAAGAAUGUCCAAAGACAAAUGAGUACAUUUCUUUUCUGUCUGAAGUGAUUCACUUAGAAAGAUAAGGGACUGAUGCACUGUAAUGUUUGUGAGGCAGACAGAGAAGGAGGUGUGGGAAGGAGAGGUGAGAACUCAGCAGAGGGUCACAGGCUUGUUCACCUGGAAGCAGAGGACAGACACGGCUUCCCUCUCCCCUCUUCUUGUCCCCAUCCAGCUGGAAAGUCCUCCAGUCCCCAGGGGGAGGCUGUCUUCUUGGCAGAGAGGUGAAUAUGAUUCUUCUUUCCUUCCAGGUGUUUGACUUUGAACUGACUCCAGAAGACAUGAAAGCAAUCGAUGGCAUCAAUAGAAAUAUAAGAUAUUACAAAUUUCUACUUGGUGUCAGUCACCCUGAAUAUCCAUUUCUUGAAGAAUAUUGAUUCUCGGGUCUCACUGUGGUUCUUCAAGAAUUUGUUGCUUCUGGGGCUGUGAAGAGGAUUUUUGUAAGUGGUGAAGGUGCUUGAAAGAAGUGUCUGAAGUUUCAAAAAUGCCUUGUGAAAAAAAAUAAAGUUUAUGAAACAAUUAAAA
Odocoileus virginianus texanus is the source of this 960-nucleotide non-coding RNA. NCBI's taxonomy places the organism in Eukaryota, Metazoa, Chordata, Mammalia, Artiodactyla, Cervidae. The record is from RefSeq and is a predicted model, not a curated record.